UCUUUUUGUUUUAUAUUUAAGGUUUAACCUGCCCCCUGAAAGAUUUAAAUGGCCGCGGUAUUUUGACCGUGCUAAGGUAGCAUAAUCAUUAGUUUUUUAAUUGAAAACUGGAAUGAAGGGUUGGAUGAAAAAAAAUCUGUCUUUGUUUAAAUAAAUAGAAUUUUAUUUUUAAGUUAAAAAGCUUAAAUUAUAUUAAAAGACGAGAAGACCCUAUAGAGUUUUAUAAUAAAAAUUUAAUUUUUAUAAAGUAUUAAGUUAAUUAUUAAAAUAUUAUUAUUUAAUUGGGGUGAUUAAAAAAUUUAAUUAACUUUUUUUAUAUUUUUAUAUUAAUUUAUAAAUAUUUGAUCCAUUUAUAUGAUUAAAAGAUUAAAUUACCUUAGGGAUAACAGCGUAAUUUUAUUGGAGAGUUCAAAUCGAUAAUAAAGAUUGCGACCUCGAUGUUGGAUUAAAA
This 451-nucleotide ribosomal RNA is filed under the name Nonarthra pulchrum. RNAcentral's name for it is "partial 16S ribosomal RNA". The record is from RNAcentral. Lineage: Eukaryota; Metazoa; Arthropoda; Insecta; Coleoptera; Chrysomelidae.